This 497-nucleotide ribosomal RNA is filed under the name uncultured bacterium. RNAcentral's name for it is "partial 16S ribosomal RNA". It matches the Rfam family "Bacterial small subunit ribosomal RNA", at positions 28 to 507 of the family's 1533-position model. The record is from RNAcentral.
GAUGAACGCUGGCGGCGUGCCUAAUACAUGCAAGUCGAGCGAACAGACGAGAAGCUUGCUCCUCUGACGUUAGCGGCGGACGGGUGAGUAACACGUGGAUAACCUACCUAUAAGACUGGGAUAACUUCGGGAAACCGGAGCUAAUACCGGAUAAUAUAUUGAACCGCAUGGUUCAAUAGUGAAAGACGGUUUUGCUGUCACUUAUAGAUGGAUCCGCGCCGCAUUAGCUAGUUGGUAAGGUAACGGCUUACCAAGGCAACGAUGCGUAGCCGACCUGAGAGGGGGAUCGGCAACACUGGAACUGAGACACGGUCCAGAAUCCUACGGGAGGCAGCAGUAGGGAAUCUUCCGCAAUGGGCGAAAGCCUGACGGAGCAACGCCGCGGGAGUGAUGAAGGUCUUCGGAUCGUAAAACUCUGUUAUUAGGGAAGAACAAAUGUGUAAGUAACUAUGCACGUCUUGACGGUACCUAAUCAGAAAGCCACGGCUAACUACGUG